Molecule: long non-coding RNA, 494 nt
Filed under: Phoenix dactylifera (date palm)
Lineage: Eukaryota; Viridiplantae; Streptophyta; Magnoliopsida; Arecales; Arecaceae
Description: long non-coding RNA (PDAC_LNC011325)
Source: RNAcentral
GAUGCUUUCUUUAUGUGCCGGGGUCGACCCAAUCAACCUUGGGGUCGACUCAAUCCACACUUUGCUGCAACUCAAGGUUAGAUUCAUCCAUAUAAACAAUGAAAUGCAUCUUUAUCUUAUUAUACGAAUAUACUGAGAGUAACAGACUUAUAAACGAAGUAUCGAAUUAACUUGUAACAUACUCUUGAUUAUUGCUUGUUAAUCAUCAAAAUAAUACUAUCAUCCUCAAUCUUCCCCUUUUUGAUGAUUACAAAAUAUAGAGUAUGAGCCUAUUGAUACUUAUCUUAAAAUCAGUUUUAAAAGGGCUCAAGUUGCUGAAUUUCAGCUUUUCAAAUAUGAGAGUGAAGUCUCCCCCUAUUUCAUCUAAAUGUUUCCAAUUUGAUUUUUUGAAUUGCUCCCCCUUUCGUUUAUAUUUCAUUAAAGAUGAAACUUCAAAAAUUUGAGAUAAAGCAUAAGUUUCAGAUUAUGUAUCGAGGUGUGAAAGGUAUAUGCCA